GUUGAGAAGAAGCUAGGUGA
RNAcentral lists this non-coding RNA (20 nucleotides) under Rattus norvegicus (Norway rat). Lineage: Eukaryota; Metazoa; Chordata; Mammalia; Rodentia; Muridae. The record is from RNAcentral.